GCAACGGUUAUUAGACUUGUUAGUCCCGCUCCAAACUCCACUCCUUCACUGUUGCAUGCUGCUAGUGUUAUAUAAUGUUGUUGUAUUGCUUUGCUUGUCAUUACUUCUGUCUGUAUGCUGCCCAUUUUUCCACUGUUAACGAGCCCCCGACGAGCGCUCGCGAGCAGUAAACAAACCGAGCGCGAACAAGUUACGAUAAUCGUUAAGAUUAACGAGCCUAACGAGCCGAGCCUUAACGAGCCGAGCAUGCUCGUUAGCCAGGCCUAGCCGGUACCCACUGGCGAGUAGCGACUAGAGUGCCCGGCCCGAGUAACGACUAGUUUUUUUCCCUAAAAAAAACCCAAUUAAGCUAUGGAUGGAAUAUUCUCAGAAAAAUAGAAAAAAAAAAGGCUAUGGAUGGAAUGAUUCUAAGGAAAGCGAUGAGUGGAAAUCACAUAACCUGGCAAAUCACUUCAUGUCUUCAUGGUCAUAUUCCGUGACCAAGUAUUUUACUUUUAGCCACGACCCAUCUGAUUACUCGUACCAACUGGGGUGACUAUCUCAGAUUCUCAGCUACAUGUAUAUGACUUGCUUGCUUGAUGUGAACAGCAAACGGCAGCAAGAUUUUGAUGGCACCAAACGCAUAUCGGAAUGAUGCAACCCAACAGAGCACAACGCACAGCAACGUAAGCUGUUGACGACAGUUGUGGUGGCCACUGACCUCUGUGCCUCGCAAAGUCGCAAGAACCAAGAAUGGAUAUGGAAGUGGAACGCGGAAAAGUCGAAUGGCCUUUUCGUUUCUACAAAAACAAAAGCAGAUAUUUUACGUACCAAGGGAAUGCAAACCUGCCCAUUUUGGCUUUGCCUUUUCUUUUUGAGAGAGAGAUGUAUUACUGCCUUCUAGUAUGUGGUCUGUAUUGGCACAUUGGUUAAAAAAAAUGUUGUAUGUUGGCACUUCUCUUCAAAUGCUUUCUUCGUGUCUGCCCAAUGUGACUUGUCCCGUUAUACUUUUAUAACAAUGAUACGAUAAAUGGAUGGGAAAAAAAA
Molecule: long non-coding RNA, 1026 nt
Filed under: Brachypodium distachyon (stiff brome)
Lineage: Eukaryota; Viridiplantae; Streptophyta; Magnoliopsida; Poales; Poaceae
Description: long non-coding RNA (BDIS_LNC003971)
Source: RNAcentral